This 818-nucleotide long non-coding RNA is filed under the name Bos taurus (domestic cattle). RNAcentral describes it as "long non-coding RNA NONBTAT025501". The record is from RNAcentral. Lineage: Eukaryota; Metazoa; Chordata; Mammalia; Artiodactyla; Bovidae.
CAGGUUAAGCAACUUCUACAUUUAUUUUUCUAAUUUCAUAUUAAGGUCUUUUUGGGAAAUACACUGUGAUUUUUGCUUAACAUAUGCCAUUGUUCAUUGACUCUUUCUGAUGGUCAGAAAUGAGUUUCCUUUGACUAUUCAAAAACAAAUGGUCUGGAGAGAGAACAUAUGAACAUAAAUACCUGAGCAUAUUAUUCAAAUAUCCCUGCCAUUAUGUGCAAUAGUAAGAAGUACUAAUAGCAGAUAAAAGUUCAGCUAUACAUUUGCUGAAAUCCAGGUAACUGAAAAUGAUUUAUUAAGGUGAAAUGGUUCAUGAAUGGCAAACUUGCAAGGAAUAAAAGGCACAGAGGACUAUGGAACUAUUUUUGUGUACAAACGUAAUAAAAUCCUCUAAAAAUAUUCAGAAUAAAAAUUUUAAAAUGUAAAUACAUUACACAUAUACAUCAAUCCUAGUAGUUAAAGUAGAAGAUUCAAAGCACAUAAAAUUUAAUAGAAAGAGAACUUUAUUCUAAAUAACAUUCUUAAAUCUGCCCAUUAAGAGCACAGUAAACAUUUAACAGUUUUUGUUUUAUUAAUGAAAUUAGAUUUUUACAUACAAAAUCAGCUAAGUAGGUUGGGUGUAUUCUGGAACCUGAAUCAACACGACUAAGUGGAGUUUGUGGUCACAGAGGAUUUGUCAUUUUUCUUCUUUGCCCUUAUGAAAAUACAUUAAUAGAAAAUUACCAAUGGAAAAUAUUUUAAAAUUUGUUAUAUUCCUAUCAACUUUGACAUUGCUUAGCAAAUUUAUUAAUUUCUUUCAAUCAAUGUUAAUACUUUGU